ACACUCUGGUUUCUCUUCAGAUCGCAAAAAUCUUUCGCCUUUUACUAAAGAUUUCCUUGGAGAGGAACAUGUUCGAGUUAAUGGGAAUUUUUGGACGUCUGACAUCGGUCAGGAA
RNAcentral lists this small nuclear RNA (115 nucleotides) under Leptobrachium leishanense (Leishan spiny toad). RNAcentral describes it as "U5 spliceosomal RNA (ENSLLEG00000023339.1)". It matches the Rfam family "U5 spliceosomal RNA". Rfam says of the family: U5 RNA is a component of both types of known spliceosome. The precise function of this molecule is unknown, though it is known that the 5' loop is required for splice site selection and p220 binding, and that both the 3' stem-loop and the Sm site are important for Sm protein binding and cap methylation. Lineage: Eukaryota; Metazoa; Chordata; Amphibia; Anura; Megophryidae. The record is from Rfam by way of RNAcentral.